Molecule: ribosomal RNA, 384 nt
Filed under: uncultured Caldilineaceae bacterium
Lineage: Bacteria; Bacillati; Chloroflexota; Caldilineae; Caldilineales; Caldilineaceae
Description: bacterial SSU rRNA
Rfam family: Bacterial small subunit ribosomal RNA
Source: RNAcentral
GACAUGCUGGUGGUAGUGAAGCGAAAGCUGACGACCUUCGGGAGCCAGCACAGGUGCUGCAUGGCUGUCGUCAGCUCGUGCCGUGAGGUGUUGGGUUAAGUCCCCCAACCGAGCGCAACCCCUGUCGCUAGUUAUACUUCUCUAGCGAGACCGCCGGGAUAUACCCGGAGGAAGGUGGGGAUGACGUCAAGUCAGCAUGGCCUUUAUAUCCAGGGCUACACACACGCCACAAUGGCCGGUACAGAGGGUAGCCAAGCCGUGAGGCGGAGCCAAUCCCACAAAGCCGGUCUCAGUUCGGAUUGAAGGCUGCAACCCGCCUUCAUGAAGCUGGAGUUGCUAGUAACCGCAGGUCAGCUAUACUGCGGUGAAUACGUUCCCGGGAUU